CGAGUGCCUCAAGCGUUAUCCGGAAUCAUUGGGCGUAAAGGGUGUGUAGGUGGUUUUAUUAGUCUUCUGUUAAAUUCUUCGGCUUAACCGGGGGCAUGCAGGGGAAGCGGUAAAACUAGAGGAUGGGAGAGGUUUGCGGAACUCAAGGUGUAGGGGUGAAAUCCGUUGAUAUCUUGGGGAACACCAAAAGCGAAGGCAGCAAACUGGCCCACUCCUGACACUGAAACACGAAAGCGUGGGUAGCGAAUGGGAUUAGAUACCCCAGUAGUCCACGCCCUAAACGAUGUUCAUUAGCUAUUCGGAGUAUCGACCCUCUGAGUGGCGUAGCUAACGCGUUAAAUGAACCGCCUGGGUAGUACGACCGCAAGGUUA
Molecule: ribosomal RNA, 372 nt
Filed under: uncultured organism
Description: bacterial SSU rRNA
Rfam family: Bacterial small subunit ribosomal RNA
Source: RNAcentral